This 2902-nucleotide ribosomal RNA is filed under the name Escherichia coli RN587/1. Its description in RNAcentral is "23S ribosomal RNA". Lineage: Bacteria; Pseudomonadati; Pseudomonadota; Gammaproteobacteria; Enterobacterales; Enterobacteriaceae. The record is from RNAcentral.
AAGGUUAAGCCUCACGGUUCAUUAGUACCGGUUAGCUCAACGCAUCGCUGCGCUUACACACCCGGCCUAUCAACGUCGUCGUCUUCAACGUUCCUUCAGGACCCUUAAAGGGUCAGGGAGAACUCAUCUCGGGGCAAGUUUCGUGCUUAGAUGCUUUCAGCACUUAUCUCUUCCGCAUUUAGCUACCGGGCAGUGCCAUUGGCAUGACAACCCGAACACCAGUGAUGCGUCCACUCCGGUCCUCUCGUACUAGGAGCAGCCCCCCUCAGUUCUCCAGCGCCCACGGCAGAUAGGGACCGAACUGUCUCACGACGUUCUAAACCCAGCUCGCGUACCACUUUAAAUGGCGAACAGCCAUACCCUUGGGACCUACUUCAGCCCCAGGAUGUGAUGAGCCGACAUCGAGGUGCCAAACACCGCCGUCGAUAUGAACUCUUGGGCGGUAUCAGCCUGUUAUCCCCGGAGUACCUUUUAUCCGUUGAGCGAUGGCCCUUCCAUUCAGAACCACCGGAUCACUAUGACCUGCUUUCGCACCUGCUCGCGCCGUCACGCUCGCAGUCAAGCUGGCUUAUGCCAUUGCACUAACCUCCUGAUGUCCGACCAGGAUUAGCCAACCUUCGUGCUCCUCCGUUACUCUUUAGGAGGAGACCGCCCCAGUCAAACUACCCACCAGACACUGUCCGCAACCCGGAUUACGGGCCCACGUUAGAACAUCAAACAUUAAAGGGUGGUAUUUCAAGGUCGGCUCCAUGCAGACUGGCGUCCACACUUCAAAGCCUCCCACCUAUCCUACACAUCAAGGCUCAAUGUUCAGUGUCAAGCUAUAGUAAAGGUUCACGGGGUCUUUCCGUCUUGCCGCGGGUACACUGCAUCUUCACAGCGAGUUCAAUUUCACUGAGUCUCGGGUGGAGACAGCCUGGCCAUCAUUACGCCAUUCGUGCAGGUCGGAACUUACCCGACAAGGAAUUUCGCUACCUUAGGACCGUUAUAGUUACGGCCGCCGUUUACCGGGGCUUCGAUCAAGAGCUUCGCGUUACCGCUAACCCCAUCAAUUAACCUUCCGGCACCGGGCAGGCGUCACACCGUAUACGUCCACUUUCGUGUUUGCACAGUGCUGUGUUUUUAAUAAACAGUUGCAGCCAGCUGGUAUCUUCGACUGAUUUCAGCUCCACGAGCAAGUCGCUUCACCUACAUAUCAGCGUGCCUUCUCCCGAAGUUACGGCACCAUUUUGCCUAGUUCCUUCACCCGAGUUCUCCCAAGCGCCUUGGUAUUCUCUACCUGACCACCUGUGUCGGUUUGGGGUACGAUUUGAUGUUACCUGAUGCUUAGAGGCUUUUCCUGGAAGCAGGGCAUUUGUCGCUUCAGCACCGUAGUGCCUCGUCAUCACGCCUCAGCCUUGAUUUUCCGGAUUUGCCUGGAAAACCAGCCUACACGCUUAAACCGGGACAACCGUCGCCCGGCCAACAUAGCCUUCUCCGUCCCCCCUUCGCAGUAACACCAAGUACAGGAAUAUUAACCUGUUUCCCAUCGACUACGCCUUUCGGCCUCGCCUUAGGGGUCGACUCACCCUGCCCCGAUUAACGUUGGACAGGAACCCUUGGUCUUCCGGCGAGCGGGCUUUUCACCCGCUUUAUCGUUACUUAUGUCAGCAUUCGCACUUCUGAUACCUCCAGCAACCCUCACAGGCCACCUUCACAGGCUUACAGAACGCUCCCCUACCCAACAACACAUAGUGUCGCUGCCGCAGCUUCGGUGCAUGGUUUAGCCCCGUUACAUCUUCCGCGCAGGCCGACUCGACCAGUGAGCUAUUACGCUUUCUUUAAAUGAUGGCUGCUUCUAAGCCAACAUCCUGGCUGUCUGGGCCUUCCCACAUCGUUUCCCACUUAACCAUGACUUUGGGACCUUAGCUGGCGGUCUGGGUUGUUUCCCUCUUCACGACGGACGUUAGCACCCGCCGUGUGUCUCCCGUGAUAACAUUCUCCGGUAUUCGCAGUUUGCAUCGGGUUGGUAAGUCGGGAUGACCCCCUUGCCGAAACAGUGCUCUACCCCCGGAGAUGAAUUCACGAGGCGCUACCUAAAUAGCUUUCGGGGAGAACCAGCUAUCUCCCGGUUUGAUUGGCCUUUCACCCCCAGCCACAAGUCAUCCGCUAAUUUUUCAACAUUAGUCGGUUCGGUCCUCCAGUUAGUGUUACCCAACCUUCAACCUGCCCAUGGCUAGAUCACCGGGUUUCGGGUCUAUACCCUGCAACUUAACGCCCAGUUAAGACUCGGUUUCCCUUCGGCUCCCCUAUUCGGUUAACCUUGCUACAGAAUAUAAGUCGCUGACCCAUUAUACAAAAGGUACGCAGUCACCCCAUUAAGAGGCUCCCACUGCUUGUACGUACACGGUUUCAGGUUCUUUUUCACUCCCCUCGCCGGGGUUCUUUUCGCCUUUCCCUCACGGUACUGGUUCACUAUCGGUCAGUCAGGAGUAUUUAGCCUUGGAGGAUGGUCCCCCCAUAUUCAGACAGGAUACCACGUGUCCCGCCCUACUCAUCGAGCUCACAAUAUGUGCAUUUUUGUGUACGGGGCUGUCACCCUGUAUCGCGCGCCUUUCCAGACGCUUCCACUAACACACACACUGAUUCAGGCUCUGGGCUCCUCCCCGUUCGCUCGCCGCUACUGGGGGAAUCUCGGUUGAUUUCUUUUCCUCGGGGUACUUAGAUGUUUCAGUUCCCCCGGUUCGCCUCAUUAACCUAUGGAUUCAGUUAAUGAUAGUGUGACGAAACACACUGGGUUUCCCCAUUCGGAAAUCGCCGGUUAUAACGGUUCAUAUCACCUCACCGACGCUUAUCGCAGAUUAGCACGUCCUUCAUCGCCUCUGACUGCCAGGGCAUCCACCGUGUACGCUUAGUCGCUUAA